UGCGCCCCUAUGUUUUAUAUUUAUAUUUGUAUUAUUUCCUAUAUAUUUAUAAAGUUCUCUUUAAGAGUUUCAACUGGUAUUAAUCUCUUUUUAGAGAGAACUGACUGUGAGUGCCAAAUGAAAAGAGAUGAAAAUCAAAGGUCCUGAUUCCUCUCCUGGCACCACCUUCUCAGCAUCACAGAAGCCCUCAGGAGGGCAAGUGCUGGGAAGGGUUCUGUGACAAUCAGUUCAAAGAAUGAGUACAUUCCAGACAUUCCAGACUCUCUCCAGAAGGUGGAGCUCUGGUAUACUUGGCCACACAAGCCCUUUCUCCAGGUUUACACAGACCAGUUCAUAAUAACCCACUGAAAAGACCUCAGGAGUACGAGCAAUACCAAAGGAAAGCUACUGUACUGACUCACAGUCGGUCUGCCAGCAAAGCAAAGAAUGGCCAUGGGUUGGUGCUGAGUCUCUGCUGAAGGCCUCUUUCAGCAACACUGGUGGGUCUGCCAUCCAGCUUUAUUUAAGUAAGUUAUCUCAGCAAGACAAUCCAGAAGGAAAAUCAUUCCCUGCAUGACCUGGACUUCUGGGGAAGCUGGGUACCAGAUGAGGCACAACCCCUGAUAACAAAAUGAAUACACAAAAAGGAGUUUUAGCAAAAUAAAGCCAGGAAGUAAGAGGAAAGCUGUCAACAUGUGCCUUGUGGGAGGCAAGGAUAGAGGCUGACCAGAUUGACCCAUCUGAGUACAGGGCAUCAAACUACCAACCUCAGGAAAACUCCCACCGCUGCACCACAGAGAUCAAGGUAUCUCUUAUACCCCAUUGUGAUCGCACUCACUUCCAUGUCAAGUAACAGAAGAGUGCAUGAUGAACUAUCGAGAUAUUAUAAAAAGUUUAUCAAUUUUACAAUUUUUAAACAAUCUGAGAAAAAAUGCUUAUGAUAUACUCUUUUAAAUGAAAGCAAGAUAUAAAAAUUGUAUAAUCUAUAUUGUCUCAACUAUGUCCAAAGAAUUAUAGAGAAAAAGACUGUCAAAAAGUACCAGCUAUGCUACUGAAUCAUACAAUAAAAAUGGUUAAAAUGGUAAA
Felis catus (domestic cat) is the source of this 1065-nucleotide long non-coding RNA. RefSeq lists it as uncharacterized. The record is from RefSeq and is a predicted model, not a curated record. The transcript has 2 exons. NCBI's taxonomy places the organism in Eukaryota, Metazoa, Chordata, Mammalia, Carnivora, Felidae.